The sequence is a small nucleolar RNA, 133 nucleotides long. Its record names the gene SNORA70. It matches the Rfam family "Small nucleolar RNA SNORA70". Rfam says of the family: snoRNA U70 seems to be exclusive to mammals and is a member of the H/ACA class of snoRNA which contain H (ANANNA) and ACA box motifs. H/ACA box snoRNAs are involved in the conversion of uridines to pseudouridines (5-ribosyluracil) a constituent of structural RNAs (transfer, ribosomal, small nuclear, and small nucleolar). The record is from Ensembl.
CUGCCGCUUAUUAAGCCGACCGGUUCCGCUGCGGUGCGGUUCUGGUGUGCAAUGGCUGCAGACAGUGACUCUGUGGUUGUGUAUGAGGCCAGCUGGGAAGUGCUGGCCCCUUUAAGGGACCACUGAGACAAAA